Molecule: long non-coding RNA, 1354 nt
Filed under: Heterocephalus glaber (naked mole-rat)
Lineage: Eukaryota; Metazoa; Chordata; Mammalia; Rodentia; Bathyergidae
Description: lncRNA (ENSHGLG00100044926.1)
Source: RNAcentral
GUUAAUAGUGUCUACCUCCUAGGGUUUGUGCUGUUUGAAUGAGAAAACACAAAUGCGCCUGGUGAAGCAUCAGGCACAUGGUAAUCUUUUAAAUGUUAGCAGUCUUAUUUAUUAUUCAUCCAUUUAGUUCAUUCAACAGAUUUGUAUGUGUACAGUGUUCCGGGCACUGCUAUAGGCCUGCAGAAGAGAGACAAACACGGCCGUUGCGGAGCGGGAGAGACAAACAGUAAAUGACAAAUCCUGUAGCAUGUUAGUGAACCCGACUGUGCAGAAUGGAGCAUCAGAGGGCAUCAGGGAAGCGGCUCAACUUGCUUCUGGUGCUUUGGGGGACCCUGCUCCCCUGCGGAGCCCCGCUGUGCUGCCAAGGCUGCUGAACACUUCCGUCAUUCCAGCCCAGACCGAUGAGGAUCCAGGUACUGUGCCACUCCUGCCAGUUUUGCUUGUAAUGGAAAAGAGAUGCCACCUCGACCCAGCAAACAGUACUCCCUGGAAUCUGUUUUCCCAUUUUCAGAAUCUUUUCCUGCCUGAGUGUCUGUCUUCCUCAGGUCUAACUGAGUUCCUUCCUGCUGCCACCAAGGGCCACACAGUCAGGUACUGUUCCGAGGAAAUGGAGAUGUUGGCCCUCUCCGUGCCAUUGCUAUCCACUGUGUCGUGUUGACGGGGUGAAGAAAUCCUCUGGCAUCUCUGCCUCUGUUUUGUCCUUCCGGCUCCUCCCAGUGGUCUGCUCUGCGUGGAGCACCAUCUGCCCAGCUGCUGAGCUUUUUCCAAGACAAAAGGUGCCCCACCCUGCCUGUGAGAACCUAUCAGACCUCCAGCCAGCAGCUUCCAGCACCAAGACUGGUUUGCUGCGGUGGGCGAACAAUUUGAUGAGUGCCAAAUGUCUUGAACUGCCAUGCUAGGAUUCGCUCCCACUUUAAAGAACAGUCCUGGGAGCCAGGAGAGGGGCCCUGAAUUCUUAGGGAGGCAUUAAGAAUAGUUCUGCCUAUCUCAUUUCCCUCUGAGAAUGUGCCUAGAAUGUGUGUGGUGUUGUGUGGUUCUGUGCGUUGUGCAUGUGUGGUAUAGGUAUGAUGUGUGGUAUUGUGUGGUAUGUGUCUGACAUGCACAACCUGUGGGGUGUGUGCUAUGUCUGCAUCUAUCUAGGGUAUAUAUGUAUUAUGUAUGUGAUAUGUGUGUGGUGUGUAUGUGUCUGGUGCAUGAUAUAUGUGUAGUGUGUAUGUAUGGGGCACGUGACGUGAAUGUGGUGUGUAUCUGUAAGCUGGCCAGUAGGUGUGUUUCCAUGUGCUGGGUGUGUGUGGAUGCAGGUAUACAAGCGUACAAAUGUGUUGGUGGGGAGGAUGCUGAUAAUCAAGAACUG